RNAcentral lists this ribosomal RNA (743 nucleotides) under uncultured bacterium. RNAcentral describes it as "bacterial SSU rRNA". It matches the Rfam family "Bacterial small subunit ribosomal RNA", at positions 8 to 796 of the family's 1533-position model. The record is from RNAcentral.
AGAGUUUGAUCAUGGCUCAGAACGAACGCUGGCGGCAGGCUUAACACAUGCAAGUCGAACGCGUGUAGCAAUACACGAGUGGCGCACGGGUGAGUAACACGUGGAUAUCUGCCUUUUGGUUCGGGAUAACCCUGGGAAACUAGGGCUAAUACCGAAUGGUUCCUACGGGAUAAAGAUUUAUCGCCAAAAGAUGAGUCCGCGUCCGAUUAGCUAGUUGGUGAGGUAAUGGCUCACCAAGGCGACGAUCGGUAGCUGGUCUGAGAGGACGAUCAGCCACACUGGGACUGAGACACGGCCCAGACUCCUACGGGAGGCAGCAGUGGGGAAUAUUGGACAAUGGGGGCAACCCUGAUCCAGCCAUGCCGCGUGAGUGAUGAAGGCCUUCGGGUUGUAAAGCUCUUUUGGCGGGGACGAUGAUGACGGUACCCGCAGAAUAAGCCCCGGCUAACUUCGUGCCAGCAGCCGCGGUAAGACGAAGGGGGCUAGCGUUGUUCGGAAUUACUGGGCGUAAAGCGCGUGUAGGCGGUUGUCCAAGUUGGAUGUGAAAGCCUUGAGCUUAACUCAAGAAAUGCAUUCAGGACUGGAUGACUAGAGGACCGGAGAGGAUAGUGGAAUUCCCAGUGUAGUGGUGAAAUACGUAGAGAUUGGGAAGAACACCAGUGGCGAAGGCGGCUAUCUGGACGGUUUCUGACGCUAAGACGCGAAAGCGUGGGGAGAAACAGGAUUAGAUACCCUAGUAGUCC